GUGUCAGCAGCCGCGGUAAUACGGAGGAUGCAAGCGUUAUCCGGAAUUAUUGGGCGUAAAGCGUCCGCAGGUGGUUUUGCAAGUCUGCUGUCAAAGCGUGGAGCUUAACUCCAUAUAGGCAGUGGAAACUGUGAGACUAGAGUGUGGUAGGGGCAGAGGGAAUUCCCAGUGUAGCGGUGAAAUGCGUAGAUAUUGGGAAGAACACCAGUGGCGAAGGCGCUCUGCUGGGCCAUAACUGACACUGAGGGACGAAAGCUAGGGGAGCGAAAGGGAUUAGAAACCCCAGUAGUCC
This 292-nucleotide ribosomal RNA is filed under the name uncultured bacterium. RNAcentral's name for it is "partial 16S ribosomal RNA". It matches the Rfam family "Bacterial small subunit ribosomal RNA", at positions 505 to 796 of the family's 1533-position model. The record is from RNAcentral.